AGUAGCCCCUCUGCCAUGUGUAGCCUGAAUGAUCAAUCUAAUUAUAACCUUAACAUUCCUUUGUUGUUGUCUAAAGAGUCUGAAAUUCCUUUCUUGUUAGAGGUAGUACAUACAACAAGCUAGAGAGUCUAUAUAAGCUGGCUUGAGCUAAUUUUUCCUUUGUAUGUGCACUAGCCCACACUACCUCAUCCUUCCAACUUAAAACCCCUCUUUGUAUCCUCAACCACCUGAGCACUCUACAACAUACAACAACAGAAAAAAGACAGAAAGAACAGGUGAUCGAUACGCUCAUCACUACUCUGGCAUAAUAUGCAUGAAACAUCGAAUAGAGCACCACUUGGCUAUUCUAUCCCUUGUUUGCAAUCUCCUCCAGAAUAAGAUGAACUUACAUCUAGGGGCACCAUAAUUGUUACAGAUAAUUUUCCUCCACUCCAUCUUGGUAAAGUUGCAUAAAAGACUUCUAGAUUUAGCCUUGCAUUUAGGAUCUUUUUAACCAUCCAGGAAGCUUGAUUCCCUUGAGCAUUCCAUAGGUCAUUUCCUUUGUUGUAAUAAGUAUGGAUCUACUAAAUUCAUAACCUGACCUUUUUCAAGUACUACAGAGAUUUCAGAAAUGUUUACAAAUAGCCUAUUCCAAUCAGUGCGAUUAAGAAAGCCAAGGCCACCUGCAAUUUUAGGACUACACAACCUCUCCCAUGCUAUCAAUGCAUUCUUGCUGGUGUCAUUCCCUCCAGAUUAUAGAAAGGAUUUACAAAUAUAUUUAGCCAAUUACACAAACUUAGAUGGAAAAUAAGAUAUGUAAUUUCACUCUAGCGCCUAAUUAUUUUCAGUAGCAUAUUUUCACUCUCCCUCUCUCGUACAACGCACUACUCCUAUUCACUCUCUCUCUCUCGUACACAACAAACACAUAUAGCUACUCUUCAUCAGAUCACUCUCUCUCGCGAACACAGCAAACACACUACUCUCAUCUUCCAAUUUUUUCAUUCACUAAUACACACCAUCUUGAUUCUCGAUCUCGAUCGAUUACAACGACGCACACACACUAUCUUGAUCGCAAACAAUACCCUUCCACUGUAUCUUCAAAUUCCCCGAAUUGCCCUCAUCGACCGUCGUUCCUCGCCGUCAAUUCACGCCGGAGAUGCGGUAGAAUCUUCUCCAGGAUACGCACAACUUACAGGUUCGUGUAAAGGAAAGUCUGUGUAGCGGAAAGUCUAUGAGCCACUGAAAGAGGUUUCAUUUACUCCAGUGCUUCACCAUUACGACAACCCUAAAUUUCGCCUUUAGUUAAACAUUCCAGAGGUUCUAUGGGGAUUGAUCGCGGACAAGGGCAUAAAUACUCCACCAUGUCCGUUAAUGAAGGAAUGAAAAGCAUUGGUGCUAUAGGAAAGGGACUAGAGCAAAGACUUCGAUCUUUGAGCUCCUUUUAGGGAUUGCUGGAAAAAAGGUGGAAUCUUUAAACAAGAGCACCCUCUGUGCUAACCAACAUGUGCGAACUCCAUCUAAAAUCACAAGUUCAAGUUCUACCAAAUCUUCUAAUCAAGAAAUUCGAAAUAUUAAUGAAGAUUCCUUGACUCUUGAGCAAGGGGAUAUGCAAGCCAAUAUUUCAUUGCCUCCAUCUAUUGAUCAAGUCAAGCAACACUCUCAAAAUAUUGAAAAAGGAUACAAUAAUUUCAUGGGUGCCAAAAAACUGCAGAAGAACUGAUUCUUCCCCUGAAACUUUGUUUAGACCUUGACACCCGUCAGAACUGAUUCUAAUCUCACAUUUGUCCUAGGAAGUCAACAAGCAAGCAUAAUUAAGCAAUCUAAAGGACACAAGUAAGACAUAAAAACGGAGAAAUUAUAUUUCUUCAUCUCCUCGAGCUUUCUCUGCACUUAUGUUUAUAAAUUGAAUUUGAUAUAUUUACUUACGUGAUUUAUGUCGAUCAUAUAUGGUGAAGCAAUGUAGUAAAUUUUUGUUUUACUGUUGCAUGAGUUACUUGAUUAAGGUGAAACAGUUCGAAUUGAAAGUCGAGGAUUUUGAUUAUUUUUUGGCCUGUGCUGCAAGCUGGAAAUUUGAAAUGAAAGUCGGUGUCUUUAUUAUAUAUAUCAUGUUUUUGUAUUGAAACUAAUUAAUAUAAUGGGAUGUUAAAUAAGUUUUCUGGUCUCUAAUUAUAUAUAUUAUGUUUUUGUAUUGAGAUUCUCGAUAGAAAUUUGGUAUUUAUUUAAUGAAAUUUAUUAUUUUGUGAUAUUAGACUCAUUUGUGGUUAAGAAUUUAUUACAAUGAGGUAGUUAGUCUUUUUGAGACAAUAAAUACCGUCGCUAAAUAAUAUUUAUGACAAGGUAGUUACACUAUUUUA
This is a long non-coding RNA of Capsicum annuum, 2333 nucleotides long. RefSeq lists it as uncharacterized. The record is from RefSeq and is a predicted model, not a curated record. The transcript has 5 exons. NCBI's taxonomy places the organism in Eukaryota, Viridiplantae, Streptophyta, Magnoliopsida, Solanales, Solanaceae.